Molecule: ribosomal RNA, 462 nt
Filed under: uncultured bacterium
Lineage: Bacteria
Description: partial 16S ribosomal RNA
Rfam family: Bacterial small subunit ribosomal RNA
Source: RNAcentral
GACGAACGCUGGCGGCGUGCUUAACACAUGCAAGUCGAACGGAAAGGUCCUUCGGGGUACUCGAGUGGCGAACGGGCGAGUAACACGUGGGUGAUCUGCUCUGCACUUUGGGAUAAGCCUGGGACACUGGGUCUAAUACCGAAUAGGACCACGCGCUUCAUGGUGUGUGGGGGAAAGCUUUUGCGGUGUGUGAUGGGUCCGCGGUCUAUCAGUUUGCUGGUGGGGUACUGGCUUACCAAGGCGACGACGGGUAGCCGGCCUGUGAGGGUGACCGGCCACACUGGGACUGCGAUACGGCCCAGUCUCCUACGGUAGGCAGCAGUGGGGAAUAUUGCAGAAUGGGCGCAAGCCUGAUGCAGCGACGCCGCGUGAGGGAUACCGGCCUUCGGGUUGUAAACCUCUUUCAAUGGGGACAAAGCGCAAGUGACGGUACCUAUAGAAGAAGCACCGGCCAACUACGUG